UACUGCUAUAUUUCGUUUCUUUUCAUUUUCUGUGUAUUUUCAUUAUUAUUACCGUUGAGUGCCACCAGGGGGCGCUAUAGUGUAAGUGAGCUUUGUAAGAAGAAGUAGAGGUUAGUUUCCGCCGAAGAAGCGAUCUCUCGAGAGAUCGAAAGAUGCGUGACUGAAGCGUGGUCACAAAGCUAAGUUGUUAAGAGAGUUAAGAAACAAUAAGAAGAAGAAGACGACUGAAACUAAUUCCUCUCUCGGUACUCAGCCAACGAGUUUUCACGGUGUGUUUAUGAGUCUGAACAAGCUGGAUUCAAUAAAUCCAUCAGUUGAGAAAGCCA
Molecule: long non-coding RNA, 326 nt
Organism: Syngnathus typhle (broad-nosed pipefish)
Lineage: Eukaryota; Metazoa; Chordata; Actinopteri; Syngnathiformes; Syngnathidae
Exons: 2
Source: RefSeq, a predicted model, not a curated record